AUGGAGCUGUGCAACGAUUUAGAAGGUGAUGCCACAAUGCCAGACUCGUCUGCAAGGACUGAAACUUUGUGCAAAGCAUCUCAAGACCAAGAGUUCAAGCACCACAACCCUCGGGCUGGUUUAGUGCAACCUCAUCGGCACACUAUCUCAACAACCACAACCAGUUUGCCUCCUAAAGGCUCUGAAAUCGUUUCUCCAGACACGACCGUUGCGUCACUGAAAUUUCCUAGAAUAAAAGAAGAGGCACCCACUCCCUCUGUAGACGUGUGUAAAUCUGCACCUAAAGCGCCUAAACCCUCCUCCACCUGUGCUGCUACCGUCUCGGAUGCAUCACCCCAGUCUGCCUCCAUGACAAAUAAAAGUGCAUCCAAGGUGAAAUCGGCCUCUGGCGCUGCUGCUGCAAAUGUUGGCAGCAGAAAUGGUCCCAGAAGUGCGGAAGCAUCUAAAGGUUCAGCUGCAGCUUCCGUGCCUGCUGCUAACGUGGCUAAACCUGUUGAUGACUACCCCUCUGCUAAGACUUCUCAUGUGAACAAAUCAGAGGGAGAACAUGCAAAUGCGUACAAGAGGAACUCGCCUACGGCUCUUAGCCCAAAGGCCACCUUGCUUUCCAGCUCGGAACACAAGAAUCGACACAAAGACCCCCCACACGUGUCUGCAACCAGCAAGACACCAGCCGGAAACCUCGCUAAAGUUGGGGUGGAUGAGCUGAUUGUUGUGACGUGCGAAGGAAAGCAGCAGGUCUACUGUCGGCUGUGUUCAGUGAAGUUAAACUCAUCCAGUCAGUAUCACCUGACCAGCAUUAACCACCAGCUUAAAUACGUGAAAACGAAGUUCCCCAAAUGGGUCGCAAAGGAGUCUGAACUGGAGGAGAAACUAAGCCAUACGGUGGCCCUGUUGGCCAAAAUUGAGAAAGGCUUGCCACAAAUUCCGAACCCUCAGAAAUUGGAAGUCAGUAAACAAGAGUACUUAAACCUGGGACGUCUGUCAGACAAGAAAGCUGUGGAGAAAGUGAUGGAGAUGGGCAAACUGAAGAAGUCGCAUGACUCGUGUCCCACCGCUGAUGCUUCAGGGCCUCUGAAGCCGGAAAUCUGCAGCCCGUGUGAAGUUUCGAGCUCCGACGACGGUAAAUUUAAAGGCUAUUAA
This 1143-nucleotide long non-coding RNA is filed under the name Nothobranchius furzeri (turquoise killifish). RNAcentral describes it as "lncRNA (ENSNFUG00015020087.1)". The record is from RNAcentral. Lineage: Eukaryota; Metazoa; Chordata; Actinopteri; Cyprinodontiformes; Nothobranchiidae.